GAAAGCGUAAUAGCUCACUGGUCGAGUCGUCCUGCGCGGAAGAUGUAACGGGGCUAAGCCAUGCACCGAAGCUUAGGCUGCACUCUCUGAGUGCGGGGUAGGGGAGCGUUCUGUAAGCCUGUGAAGGUGUCUCGUAAGGGAUGCUGGAGGUAUCAGAAGUGCGAAUGCUGACAUGAGUAGCGUUAAAGCGGGUGAAAAGCCCGCUCGCCGUAAGCGCAAGGUUUCCUACGCAACGUUCAUCGGCGUAGGGUGAGUCGGCCCCUAAGGUGAGGGCGAAAGCCAUAGCUGAUGGGAAGCUGGUUAAUAUUCCAGCACCGAUUUCUAGUGCGAUGGGGGGACGGAUCGUGGAAGGUUGUCCGGGUGUUGGAAGUCCCGGUUCCUGACCUGUAGGUGUCUGGUAGGUAAAUCCGCCAGGCGUAUGCCGAGGGGUUGGGACGAGCGAGCUUGCUCGCGAAGCAACUGGAAGUGGUUCCAAGAAAAGCCUCUAAGCUUCAGCUAGAAACGACCGUACCGCAAACCAACACUGGUGCGCGAGAUGAGUAUUCUCAGGCGCUUGAGAGAACUCGGGAGAAGGAACUCGGCAAAUUGACACCGUAACUUCGGAAGAAGGUGUGCCUUGGUAGCUUGAGUGUGAACAACACAAGGGCAAAGAGGUUGCAAAGAAUAGGUGGCUGCGACUGUUUAUUAAAAACACAGCACUCUGCAAACACGAAAGUGGACGUAUAGGGUGUGACGCCUGCCCGGUGCUGGAAGGUUAAUUGAAGAUGUGAGAGCAUCGGAUCGAAGCCCCAGUAAACGGCGGCCGUAACUAUAACGGUCCUAAGGUAGCGAAAUUCCUUGUCGGGUAAGUUCCGACCCGCACGAAUGGCGUAACGAUGGCCACACUGUCUCCUCCCGAGACUCAGCGAAGUUGAAGUGGUUGUGAAGAUGCAAUCUACCCGCUGCUAGACGGAAAGACCCCGUGAACCUUUACUGUAGCUUUGCAUUGGACUUUGAAGUCACUUGUGUAGGAUAGGUGGGAGGCUUAGAAGCAGAGACGCCAGUCUCUGUGGAGCCGUCCUUGAAAUACCACCCUGGUGUCUUUGAGGUUCUAACCCAGACCCGUAAUCCGGGUCGGGGACCGUGCAUGGUAGGCAGUUUGACUGGGGCGGUCUCCUCCCAAAGAGUAACGGAGGAGUUCGAAGGUUACCUAGGUCCGGUCGGAAAUCGGACUGAUAGUGCAAUGGCAAAAGGUAGCUUAACUGCGAGACCGACAAGUCGAGCAGGUGCGAAAGCAGGACAUAGUGAUCCGGUGGUUCUGUAUGGAAGGGCCAUCGCUCAACGGAUAAAAGGUACUCCGGGGAUAACAGGCUGAUACCGCCCAAGAGUUCAUAUCGACGGCGGUGUUUGGCACCUCGAUGUCGGCUCAUCACAUCCUGGGGCUGAAGUAGGUCCCAAGGGUAUGGCUGUUCGCCAUUUAAAGUGGUACGCGAGCUGGGUUUAGAACGUCGUGAGACAGUUCGGUCCCUAUCUGCCGUGGGCGUUGGAGAAUUGGUUGGGGCUGCUCCUAGUACGAGAGGACCGGAGUGGACGCACCACUGGUGUUCCGGUUGUGUCGCCAGACGCAUUGCCGGGUAGCUAAGUGCGGAAGAGAUAAGUGCUGAAAGCAUCUAAGCACGAAACUUGCCAAGAGAUGAGUUCUCCCAGAUUAUAAAUCUGUAAGGGUUGUUUAAGACUAAGACGUAGAUAGGCAUGGUGUGUAAGUGGUGCGAGCCAUUGAGCUAACAUGUACUAAUUGCCCGAGAGGCUUAGCCAU
This 1795-nucleotide ribosomal RNA is filed under the name human metagenome. RNAcentral's name for it is "bacterial LSU rRNA". It matches the Rfam family "Bacterial large subunit ribosomal RNA", at positions 1128 to 2925 of the family's 2925-position model. The record is from RNAcentral.